Molecule: non-coding RNA, 189 nt
Organism: Pteropus alecto (black flying fox)
Lineage: Eukaryota; Metazoa; Chordata; Mammalia; Chiroptera; Pteropodidae
Source: Rfam
AUCACUUCUCAACCUUUUGGCUAAGAUCAAGUAUAGUAUCUGUUCUUAUUGGUUUAAUACAAUCAUUCCCCUUUCCCGCCCCCAGCCCAACACCGCUAGUCUCCUUUCUGUCUUUUGGGAUUUGCCUUUUCAGGACAUUUCAUAUAGAAAGAAUCAUACAUAUAUGUAUUCUUUUGUGUCUGACUUUUC